Molecule: long non-coding RNA, 1361 nt
Organism: Solanum tuberosum (potato)
Lineage: Eukaryota; Viridiplantae; Streptophyta; Magnoliopsida; Solanales; Solanaceae
Exons: 2
Source: RefSeq, a predicted model, not a curated record
CCUUCUGGGUUUCCACGUGGUUUCGUCGGACUACCAAAAGGGUAGGCUGGUAAUUUCCUCUUUUCAAUUCCUUCUUUGUUUGCCGCGUGUGUGCACAUCCGCAGAAAAGAUCCACGCCUUGGAUCUUCAAUCUUCCAUAUUUUGCUGAUUCUAAAAAUCUUUGCAUAUCUCUCUGUGCCGGUUGCUCUGAUUUUGCUCCUGACUCUCUCGAUAGAUUAGGAGCCAUUAUUUUCCUCCGCCACCAAGCCUCGAAAGGUUUCUCCGGCGGUCAUUUCGCCUCUACGAGGCUUCAACUCCACCUUUGCAUAAUGCCUAGCUCUUUCUUUUUGACUGGGUUUUGGAGGUUCUUCAUCUAUAUUACUUGAGUCCAGAAUCUGGAUAUUUAGGUUUUGCUUGGACCUCUGACUCAAAAAUAAGUUAGUCGACUUACUACUUAUUGUUUAAUGAAUUGAUGAGAUACAACUAAAGUAGAGCUUAAUUUGAUUUUGAUUUGUCCGAGUUUUCAAUGGGUAAAAAAAAUGUAUCUUAAACAGGUAAAAAAAUUCCAACAGUAGAAAUACUUUAACAAAAAUCCUAUGUAAAAAUUCCUCAGUGUCCUUCAUUCUUUAUGAUUUCUAAUCAUGGUUUUGGACCUCCUAUUGCACCCAUCAACUCCAUUCUCUGUGGCUCUUUUUCCAUUUUUAAUAUGAUUUGGUUGGCUUGCAUUGAUAAUUCCGUUGGAGAAGUACAUGACUUUCUGUAGUUUGCUUCAUUAUUGUAUAUUCUGCUUAAGGUUUGAUGUUUUAUGCCUACUUUUGUGGUGAUUUUUCCUUGGUGUCUAUUACUUUAUGCAUCAUGGAAAAAAUUUACACUAUUUCUAUAUUUCUCUUUGGACAAUCGCAACAUAUUUUUCUACUCGGAAUAGCAAAUUAUAGUUUAGUGCCAGACGUUUACACAGUUUUGGAGCUCCACUUUCCUUUCCCUUCACUCGCUCCUUAAAAUUGAGUAUCGAAUUAUAUUGAAAUGAAACUCUGAGGAAGAGAUGCUGCUAGGUUUAGGAAAUUUCACUUAGUCUUCUAUGUAGAAGUAGAGGUUAUGACCUCAAAUUGAGUAAUAUAUCUGUCCUUCUGCAAUUUUGUUCUUUUAAGUAUCUUUAUUUUGCUUAUGUACCUCUGUCCAGGAGGUUCAGAGUUUUAAUUUCUCUGUUGGUUUGAGGUUAAUUUGUUUAAGUUACUUGUGUAACUUGAAAUAUGGAUGAUGACUUUGGUUCAUUAGUAUUCCAGAUUAGAUUCCUGACUGUGAUUUUGUGUGGUUAAUGUAUUGUGGUAUUUGUUAAUUGGUUUGUAGUAACAAUUAUCUGUGCUUUAAGGCAUAUCUUGGUA